CGCCUUCGCCGCCAUCAAAUUUCCUGUUUAAAUCCAGGAAGAAAGCGCGGUGAGUGUUGUAUUUCUUUGAUACUAGCAAGCCUUUUGAUUUAACUGUAGAGUUUGUACCUAGCUGUAGGUCAUUUUUAUUACUUCUUGCUUAUGUAGAACAAAUAGUUGCCAAAAUGGAGAAGAAGAAAAGAAAGCUGCUUACAUUAUCUCAUAAGUGGGUCUCUUUCUUGCUUGGCUUGUUCUUAGAAAUGUAUUUUUUUCUCCUUUUCUAAGGUGUUUACUUGAGUCUAAAAGUCUCCUUUUUAACGAAUGCUUAUCAACAUGUAUGACUUAGGAUUUUAGGAUCAACCCCACUCCAUUUGACCCUUGCUACCAAUAAUGCCGAGUUUUAGGAAUCCCAGGAUUAACGGUAAAUGUAAAGCUACAAAGACGUUGUGUUUUAGGAUUGAAGGAUCAACCCCACUUCAUUUGACCCUUGAUUAAAUUUGCUCUGUUCUUGUGGGCUUAAUACACUUUAAUCCAUACCUAAGGCUUAAUUAACUGUUCUUUUUGCCCCUAUAGGCCCCAGCGUAUAUAUAUGUCCCUUUUCCUUUUGUCAUUUACCUUUUAGAAAGUAGCUGAUUUUUGUUCCAUGGAUCAUGAAAUUCAGUAGCGUGGGACAACUCUUGGACCCGGACUUUAUUUUGCAUUAUGACACAUUGAUUCAAUUUUAUAGUAACAUUGGUGUCUUAAAAUCUUAAAAACAUUAGGUCCUGAAUUGAUAAUAAUGAAAGAUGAAGCUCUAUGUGUUAACCAAAAACAUUGGUGUCUCUUCUGUUAUAAGAAGGUUCUUCAUAGUGUUUGUUUAUAGUGGUAGAAAUUAUACCCCCCCCCCCCCCCGGCCCAAACAAAAAAUAAAAAUAAAUAAAGCAUGGAAAAAGUUAUCCACAUAUCAGAAUAUACGCAGUUUUGUUCCAUUGCAAAAAGAUUCUCAAACACUCUUAGGUGCCUUUGCUUUGAGUUUUGUAGCAUAAAUUUGGCUACGAGUUGAGAUAGAAUCUGAGGUCAGUCAGAUUGAGAGAGUUGAACAAAGAUUUGAUUGCGAUAGGAAUUGAGAUUCUCUGUGUCGUUUUGGAUGCCGAGUGACAUUUGCUGAUAUGAAAAGCAAUGCCUAUUAGGUUUAAGCCUUAAGAUGAAAAGUUGAGAGUGAUGAGCAUUUGAGCUCCUUUGGGCCUUGGGUGUGGGGCGAUGAAUGUGACUGUGACUGCAAUUAACGAUUAUAAUUGCGUUUAAUGAUCUUGGCAUGAAAUAAAGUUGGAUGUUUCAUUCCCAACAAGGGUUCUGUAUUAUUGGGCUUUUCACAAUUUCAAGGUCUCGCUUUGGUUUUUUGCUCAAAUGGGCCUUAACCGUUUGAGAUGAAUCCGGCUUAGUCCUUGGUUCCUCCAUGGAAUGUGCCUGCAAUUCUGUUUGAGAAAUAAUAUUCUUCAACUUUUCACCUCACUCAAAUCUAAAAUCUGAACCCCUUGUUCUUUUACCAUGAUUAUUUUUCUUUCAACAUUGCUUCUUUCAUUGACAUUUUUGUUAUUAUUUAUGUUUUAAAAAUCAGUAAUAAGUCAAAUUAAGUAAAGGCAAAUCCAUGGUUAAGGUGGUGAAAAGGAAAUAGCAAAUGAACAUGCCAGUAAAUUGGAUCCCUUAGAUAUUGAAAAAAUAUCAAUCACAUGGAGCCACAGCAACCCAAAGCGAACUUUGAUCAAUUAUGUGAAUGAGACAGAGUCGCGAGAAAACCAUGAGUUGCAGCAUUUAUGAAGAGUAAAUGCGCUAUAUUAACUAACCAACAAAACUGGUAGUAGUUGCUCAAAUCAAUUUAUUAUUUUUACCUAUCUCCACUCCAUCUAUUCAUUACCAUCCGGAAAAUGAAAUGUAGGAAUAUAUGACGACAGCAUCUCAUUUUUAUAAUUUCUAGAAAUUAUAAUUUCAAAAGGUUAGAAAUCAGAUAUGUUAAAUUGAUGGAGUGGGUUUGGAGUUUAAUUAUACCAACAAUCAGAGUAUCUAUUUUCUAAUGCUUUUCCUUGAUGAGGAAGUUUUACAAUAAAGAAUGAAAAUGAGACAGGAAGAUAAUAAGGGGAAGAUAUUAAUCAGGCUUCCUUUUUUUAAUUGUAUAAUGAUUUACUAAAAAUAUUUUCUGUGUUUAUAUCAUAGACAAUAACCUGGUCAACAGAAAUUUAUUAAAAGUAAUAAAUAUUAAUAUUUUAAUAAUAAAUAUUUAUUACAAUUAUAGAUAUAUUAAUAAUAAAUGUUUUGUAGUAUAAAGGUUAAAAUAUACCAUAAGUCCAUCUACUCUUCACAAAUUUAGAAUUUAGUCUUUGUACUUUUACUUUUAAGAAUAAAGUUAGUCCCUGUACUUUUAUUUUCAAUAAUUUAGUUCCUCUAUUUUUCAAUUUUGAAAAUCAAGUCCAAUUGUUAAUAUUGUUAAAUUUCUUUAUCAAUUUUGUUGAUGACGCAUUUUCAAAUAAAAAAAAUACUCACUUAGUAGUCUUGUAACUAAAAGAUUAUGUUGUAUGAAUCUGAAUUUAACAAAAUAAUUUUAAUAUAUGCAAAAAUAAUACAAAAUAUAAAUUUAUAGAUAUAAAAUAAACUCAAUUAAAUAACAAAAAAGAUGAGAAAAUCUCAAAUGUAUGUUUGUUUUAUUGUAAACAAUUUUUAUAAAAUAUUUUUAGGUAAUAUGUCAAACAAUAAAAAAUAUUUUACACAAGUUCAUCCAAACACUAGAAAUUAUUAAUUUUUCCAAAAAAGCAUGUCAUUUUCUAAAAAUAAUUUUCGGGAAGUCAUUUUUAAUAAAACAAACAGAGCUUGAGAGGAAAGAGAUGGUAAGAGAAAGAUAACUUCAUAGUAAAGGAUCAUACCUCGUCUUUUUGCUUGGUAUGGGUUGUGUUGGUAAUGUAAAGUGGAUAAUCCUAUACAUUGGUUUAGAAAAGAUUAUUAAAGGAGUUUAAAUAUAGCUUUGUCUCUAAUUUUUAUUGAGUAAUUAGGGCUAAUGGCUCAACACAUGCAAACUAUUGCCGUUAUUCGUAUCCGUGUUAACACAUAUCGUGUGUGUUUUUUUAAAUAAAAUUUUUGUUCCUUUUAUCAGAAAUAUUUUUUAGUUGCAGAAAAUAUUUUGGUUGUUGCAGAAUAUUUUAGGUUGAGGAAAAUCCUCUGCUAUUUUUAAAAUUUGACAUUUCUAUUUUACUAUUCUGCCCUUCAUAGAACAAUAUCAAUAGCAGACUAUUUUCUCAUUUUACACAACAAGAAGCAAACAUCAAUUUCUUCUUUGCUUUUCUUAGCUCACUUAUUUUCUGUUCAAAAAAAAAUUUUCAAUCAAAUUUCCAACCAAGUUUUCAGCUCUCCAACCUACUUUUUUGAAUAUUUUUGAGAAAAACAAUUCCAGUUAUGUUCCACCUUCUUUAUUUAGGUGUAUAAAUAUUGAAGUACUUCGUUAAUUGAAGGUGAUGUCUACUACACAAUUACACCGAUUACGACAAAUUUAUUUUUAAAAUAAUAAUCUUUUACAACACAUUGAUUAUUUUAUUUAUUUAUUCUAUGAAUGGCAUCUAUUUAUUUUUGCAAUAGUAUAUUUCCAAUUGAUAGUAGUUGACAAUUAACAUAUUUGUCUUUAUAUUAUGACAUAAGAUUGUACUAUAUUAUUAGAAAUAAAAAGUUUAUUUUAAAAAUAUUAAUUAUUUAUUAGGCACAGUAUUAAUGAUAUUUAUUCAAUUAAUAAUUGUUGUCAUAAGUAGUUAUUUAGAGUUUGCUACAACUAUUUUUCUUCAUAAACCGCAUUCUCACUCAUCCCAUUCGAGCUGUCUGAAAACCAUGGAAGAUCAAUCCUCUACUUCAGCACCAUCCAUUGAUCCCUUCAAGUUACUCAAAAUUGUCCAAAAUCCAGAUGGGUCACUCACUCGACAAUCUCUUUUCCCUUCAGUUUCAAUUACAGAUGAAGAAAGCACCAGUUCCAACACAUCUCAACUCGCCUUCUUCAAGGACAUCCCUCUGAAUCCCCAAAACAAAACCUUCAUUCGUCUCUAUAGGCCACCAACUCCACCACCAAGCACCAAUCAUAAGCUCCCUCUCUUAAUACACUUUCACGGUGGCGGCUUUAUCCUCUUCAGUGCUACUUCUCGUCCUUUCCAUGAUGCAUGCAGUCUCAAGGCAGUUAAACUCCCAGCCGUAGUCCUCUCUCUCGAAUACCGUCUGGCACCAGAGCAUCGCCUUCCGGCUGCAUACGAUGAUGCCGUUGAAACCAUCAUGUGGGUCCGGGACCAGGCGAUGGACGUCAACGGCUGUGAUCCGUGGUUAAAAGAGUAUGUAGAUUUUUCCAAGUGUUUUCUGAUUGGUUCUAGUGCAGGGGGCAACAUGGUUUUCCAUGCAGCUUUACGUGCGUUGGACAUCGAUACCUCGCCUGUGAAAAUCAUAGGGCUGAUAAUGAAUCAGCCCUACUUCAGUGGGGUGGAAAGGACUGAAUCGGAAAAGCGAUUCGUCAAUGACAGGAUCUUGCCUUUACCAGCUAAUGAUCUGAUGUGGUCCUUGGCUUUGCCCGAGGGAGCUGACCGGGAUCAUGAGUUUUGCAACCCGAUGGCGGCUGACGGGUUCCUUAAGGAGAAGAUGGGACGGCUGACACGGUGCUUAGUGACAGGCCACGGAGGGGAUCCACUAAUUGACAAGCAGAGGGAGUUGGUGAAUGUGCUGGAGGCGCGUGGGGUGGAUGUGGUGGCGGAGUUCGCUGAAGGAGGUUGCCAUGGGAUUGAAAUUUUCGAUCCGUUGAAAGCGGAAGCAUUGCUUAAGAGCAUCAAGGAUUUUGUCGACACUUGCUGUCGGUGUGUUAAUUCUGAGUCUGCUGCUGCCAAAUCAACCCUGUGAGCUAGGCUGCCCGUACUAGCAACAAUAACUAAUUCUAUUAGAGGGAAAUGAAAUUCGAGUCAAGUUAAGCUAAAUUGGGUGACUGUUAAAUUAAAAUCUUGUUAUAGUAUAACUAAUUCCCUUGAAUUAUUAAUUAACUUAUUUAGUCUCAAAAUUAUUAAUUUUUAAAUUUUUUAAAAUUUUAACUUUCAUUAUAUAUUGUUUAGAUUUUUAAAAUUUUUAAAUUUUUUUUUAAAAUAUAAAUUUUAGGAUUUUUAUAAAUAUUUAGAAUUUUAAAAAUUAUUUUGAAUUAUUUUAUAAUUUUGUUGUUGAAAGAGAGGUUAAUUUGUUUUUUUAAAGAUAGGGACUAAAAUAAUAUUUAUACUAAUCUGUUAUUAAAAUAGUAAAAUUUAACUCGACUCAAACUUAAAACUCAAAUUACUUAUUCGAGUUGACUCAAAUAACUCGAUUCGAUUAACUAGAAAUUUAAAUUUUUUUAAAAUUUUUUUUUAAUCUAAUCAAAUUUUGUUCAGAGAAUAAUAUAAUUUAGUACACUCAAAUUUAUAUCAUUAUAUACUAAUAAUAAUACUUAUAUCAAUAAAACUAAUACUCAAUCCAUUACUAUAAGCAUCGUCAACAUCAUCCACUUAUCCGCCUGUCAUCACAUUUGUUGUCUAGAGUUGUAGUAUAUCUCUGGGUUUAUCUUUUUUGGUACACUAUCUAGAUUUAUUAAAUUGUAACGUUUUUUACUAAUAAAAAAACCUGUAUAAUAAUAUUUAAUUAUUUAUAUGUUUUGGAAAAAUUAAAGAAUUAUAAAUGGGGGCUUCUCAUUGGUAGGUGAGCUAGAGCCAGUCAUGCUGACUCGAGCAAAGGAAAAAUACGGCACCAAAAUUAACACAAUAGUUUUCUUAACCAGAUAAGCUGAGAGUUUCCAAGUCUCCUUUUGGCAAUUCAUCAUUCACUCCCUCUUUCCAUUAUUUGUAUCUCAAGUGUAAAACUCCAGAGGAACGGACUUCGAUGACCAGCAGUGGAGGCGAUGCGUCACCGCCACUGACUGCCAACGGUGGCGAAUUUCUCCUUUCUUUACUCCAAAAGCCCCAAUCGCAUCAUCCUCCACAACAAUCUCCAUUACGCCCUAGAGUGGCUCCCAUGACCGUGCCUCAACCGCAAGCUCAAUCGCUCGCCAUUGAUCCUGCCGUUCAAGCAGUGGGGCCCACACUCCCUUUCUCGCCAUCUUGGUCACCGAAUGGACGCGAUCUCCCCAGUUCUUGGCCCCACAAUCUCUCUCCGCCCUUCGAUCCUAAUUUGAUAGGGUUUCGCCAAAACCCUUGGUUUUCUCCGGGAAACCAAAUUGUCUUUAAUCAAGAAGCUUUAGUGGAUGACUUGAGAAGGAUAGGGCUUUCAAGGAUAGACAAUAAUAACAAUCACGUAAUCCCGAAUCUGACCCAGCUAAAGCAUCGAGAACAAAAACUCGUCUUUGGUUCUUUUCCUAGUGAUAUUCAAACCCUUUCAAAGCCUGAUGGCGUGCCUCAAAAUUCGAAUUUGAAAUUUUCAAAUCAGCAAUCUAACUCUCGGCUUAAUUCCAAUCCAAAUUCGAGCCCAUACUUUUUCCAACGUCGAAAUUCUGAUGGAAGAGGAAAGCAACAGCAGCAUGGUGGGAAUUGCAGGUCUACCCCUUCUGCUGAAACUCCAAGACAGCCUCCAGGGUUUUCAGGAAAGCCUAGAAGAGGAGGAGGAGGAAGUCGGGAUUUCGGAAAAAAUGCGAGACAUGUUGAGCACAGUGUAAAUAAAUUAAAAGCGGAAUUGGGUCAUUUGAGUUAUGACAAUGAAACGAGACUUCGUGGACAGCUUGAUCACCCUGUGCCGCCGGCAGGGAGCAAUCCGCAGUCUGUUUCAGUGACUGAGAUUGAAGGGCCUCUUUUGGAAUUGCAUAUGGAUGGUGGUGCAAAUGGGUUUUCAAGGCGUGAUAAGCCUAGAAGAGAAGAUGGUGGCGAAGUCGAUGAAAUUGAGGAAAAGUUUGUUGAACCUUUGUUGGUUGAGGAUGAAUCUGAUGAUAAGAAUGACAAGAAGCGGCAUCAUCGUGAGAAGGUAGACUUAUUUUCUUACUUCUGUUACUUUUUAUUGCCUUGAAUCAAUUGCUAUAAUCUGUGAAGCUUUGAGAGAACUGAGAGUUAAAAGAUUGAGGUGGAUGCCUGAAUUAUAAUUGAAAUUAUAUGGUCACAGGUAAUUUUGGUAGUGUAUGCUUAAUACAUCUUAAAUUUAGUUGGUAAUAUUGCCCAAAAUAAUGUUUGGCUGAACACAUCAUAUCAGUGCCCUUGAAGUUUGAGUUUUAUCAUACACCAAGGACUGUGUCUAGGCAGUCAGAAUUUCAUACUGAAAAUUUUGGACUGUUCAUCAUUAUUACUUAGCGAAAGGCUAGACUAUGUUUGAAUUCAGGAUUACUUGUGGUUUUUUUUUUUUUUUUUUAAAAUCAGGAAUACAGAAAAGAUAACAGGGGGCAAAGGCUACUUAGCCAGAGGGAGAGAAUGUUAAAAAGGCGGACGGAUUGUCGCAGUGAUAUUCUCAGGUUAAAUUCACCUUUACUUGCUAUCUAUGAGUCACUCAUACCUCCUGUGGAAGAAAAAGCUAAGCAGAAACAGUUGUUAGCAUUACUUGAGAAACUAGUUUGCAAAGAAUGGCCAGAAGCACGGUUAUAUCUCUAUGGAUCUUGUGAGAACUCUUUUGGGGUGUCAAAGAGUGACAUUGAUAUUUGCCUUGCAUUUAAUGAGGACAUUCACGACAAGUCUGAAAUCUUGCUAAAGUUGGCAGAUAUUUUGCAGUCAGAUAAUCUUCAGAAUGUGCAGGUUGAUACGUGUUACCUUCUCCAAAAUUCAUUGUAAUAAACUACAUAUGUGGUGUAGCGAUAAUUGUUUUCCUUUCAAAUUGAUAUAUAAUGUUUGCUUAGAUUUUCAGUUUUGUUUUAUUUUAGAUGGCAAUUUUCUGAAUUCGCUUUGUUUCAACUGAUUUGUUCUAUUUAUUGAUAGCUGCUUCUUAGGACUUUGGUUUCUUAUUUUUUACUUUUAAAUAGGCCAAUGUUAAUGAGCCAUGAUUACAAUUUGUGCACUCUGCAGGUUUGUAAUCCUGAUUGGUUGAUUACAAGUGGCAAUUAAUGCAUUCUUUUUUGUUUGCCUUUGUGGAUGAAAAUUUAAGAUGCGAAAAUCUUCUGCCGAAAUUUGAUUAGUACAUGCCCGUUAAGUAGUCUCUAUUUUACAACCCCUAAGAUUCAUCAUCUGAUUUAUAUUAGUUUGAGAAGUUGCGGGUUCUGAGCCCCCCCUUCUGUUUCCAUUGAACUUUCUUACUUUUUGUUGUCACUUCCAGCUGAUAUGCUUUCAUAAUCUGUAUAGAGAAUUUGCACUUGAAUUUCAGACUCAUAAUGUGUAUGGAGAAAAUUGCAAUUGAAGCUUAGACUGUUUAUGGUUAAACUUUACAGUAAAAUUGAGUAUAACUUGCUGUUGGCCUCAUGUACAGGCACUGACUCGUGCCAGGGUCCCCAUAGUAAAGCUUAUGGAUCCAGUGACUGGAAUUUCCUGUGACAUAUGCAUAAACAAUGUUUUGGCUGUAGUAAAUACAAGGCUUCUACGAGAUUAUGCAAAGAUUGAUGUAAGAUUACGGCAGUUGGCUUUUAUUGUGAAACACUGGGCCAAGUCCAGAGGAGUGAAUGCAACUUACCAAGGAACUCUAUCUAGCUACGCGUGAGUUGUUUGCAACUAUAAUGCUAUUCCCAUAGCUAGCAACAUCAUUCCUGAGCAGCAUAUUUCAAUGGUAUUUGUGGUUAGUCUAUUUGGUUUGCUUUGAAAUGAAUAAAAACAUAGAUAAAAGUAUAAGCUGUGAUGAUGCCAAUUUAGGUAGGAUUCAUGUAUCUAGAGAGAGGGUAGGGCACAUUUCAGUUAUUGCUUAAUUUAACUUGCAGCAAUAAAAUCACCUGUUCUUCUUAUUUAUUUAUUUAUUUUUAUCAAUUAUUAUUUUUAGCUAGUAUUUUCUUUGCAGGUAUGUUUUGAUGUGCAUUCAUUUCUUACAGCAACGUAGACCUGCUAUCCUUCCAUGCUUGCAGGUGUGUAUGCUUUUUGCUUCCUAUAUCAAUUUUUUUUUUAAUUAGUAUUUGGAUUUUGCCCUACCUUUGCUACAACAUUGUUGGUAGAAAUUUUCUUCUCCUAAAUAGUAAAGGUUACAUGAUAACCUAUUUUCUUAUAUACCAUUUUUGGUUUUAUUCAGUUAUUGUUUAUUACUAUUUUUUUACAUGCCUUGUCUAGUAGACUCUGAAAUUUGGCUGUAUAUUUUAAGGAUAAAGGAUCAAUAAACUGUGUGUUUACCAGUACCUUGUAUUGCUUUGGCAUGGUAGAAAGAAUUGGGUGAUAUAAUGAAAGGGUGGCACACUUAAGAAAGAGAGUUAUAAAAUGAAUGGAAAGAUCUGUCCCUGAAAGAAAAGGACAUUUUAUUAUGGGUUUUGAUCUUUCACUGGUUAGGAGCUGCAGUCAUUUUUUACCUGCCUGGUUUGUGUGUGAUUGUUGGUUCUGUUCCCUAUAAGCAAUUGUAUGGUCCGUAUUUAUAUGAAGUUAGUUUCAUGUCUCACAUAUCAUGGUCUUUAUUCCUUUGCAUGAAACAUUUCUUGAGAAGAUUUUUUUUUUGGCAAAAUUACCACGACUAGAUGUUUUUGGGUUAGUCAAUCAGAUUUUUCAUUUGCUAAUUCUCUUUCAGGGAAUGGAGACAACCUUCUCUGUCACUGUGGAUGAUGUUGAGUGUGCUUACUUUGAUAAAGUCGAAAACCUUUGCAAUUUUGGAUCUUCUAACCAGGAAACUAUUGCUCAGCUGGUGUGGGCAUUCUUUAACUAUUGGGCAUAUAUUCAUGAUUAUGCAAAUUCAGUAAUAUCUGUACGCACAGGAAGCUUGAUCAGGUGAGAUGCAAACUAUUAUCUUUCAGGAAUGCUAAUAAAGUUUGAGGUGAACAUAUAAAAUGUUUUCAUAGUUUCUGAACUUAUAAGUACAAGUUAAGAUGCAUGUAUCUGGUUUCGUUUUAAAUACCUUCUUUGGGUAUUAGUUGCAUCUUGUGGGGAAUGAAUUAUUUUAUUAACAGAUCCAUUUACUGUAGUAAGUUCUGAGCCAGGGAGAAACAUGAGUGCACUCUUUUAGAAUGGCUUGCAAUUUGCAAAUGAUCAAUAGAUGCUAUAUUUGGUUUUGCAUAAACCGAGGACUAAAUAGUUGUAGGUGGGGAUAAAAUAAAUGAAUUCUACAAAACAAAAACGUUUUUAAUUUGAUGACUCCAUUUGUGCAGUAAGGGAGAAAAAGACUGGACAAGAAGAAUUGGCAAUGAUCGUCAUUUAAUCUGCAUAGAGGAUCCAUUUGUGGUAUCUCAUGACCUUGGUCGAGUGGUGGACAAGUUCAGCAUUAAAGUUCUAAGAGAAGAGUUUGAACGAGCGGCUGAUGUAAUGCAGUAUGAUCCAAAUCCUUGGAUAACACUCUUUGAACCUUACGUCCCUGGGUAACAAAACCUUGUCCAAGUGUGUUAGAAAAUGAAUGGUUAAAGCUAUUUGGUUGGUUUUCGUAGUCUGUGUGCUUUGCAUCCCCCAUAAUCUUCAAUUUUGUCCUUUUGAGUUCACAUCCAUUUUAAAGAAGUUUAAGCUUAUUAUAUGUAAUCAAGAAAAGAAAUUUCCAAACAUUUUAUGGAUGAAUGUUAAACAAGUUGUAAUUAAUUGAUUGAUAGUGUAUACAAAAUUCCUAUAUGAUCUAAACAUAUUCAUAUCAAAUGAGUGUGUUAUAUCGUAUUUGUGUCUUCAAGUGAAAUAAACAAAACAGUCUGAUUUGACAAGCAUUAAUAAAACAACUGCUUUGCUUGAAAAUAAUGCCCUUAAGAAAAGACUACCAUAGUUUAUACCACCUGCUAGUUAAAAAUAACGUCACACAUAUUCAAUUCACCUACCAUUAACUUCAAUUAUUUGACUGUAUGUAUGUUUCGUAACUGUUCUAUCAGCAUCUAAUAACUCUCUGUUGCUCUCUUUUCUUCUCUCCGAAGCCAAAACAAAAACAAUCAAAUCACAACUGAAAUGGUACAUUGUAUAUUAGCCAAUGCCUCCACCUGGUGAAAGGUCUAAUUUCUUACCUACUUCUGGAACAAAAAACCAACAUCAACCUUCAGCUUUAGAUGCAUCAAUCCUUGGAUCUGAAUCUGAUAUGCCAUCUCAGUUCAUAUGGCCACACCACGAGAGACCAUGCCUGGAAUCCCCACAGCUUGUAGUUCCAGCCAUUGACUUGGGAUUUGUCCUCUCAGGUGCCGAUCACCAACAUUGUGGAUAAGGCAUGCAAGAAGCAUGGAGAUGUUAUGGUUGUAAACCAUGAGGUGGAUCCGGGGCUUGUGGAUAGAGCUCAUCGGUGCAUGGACUUGUUCUUUCGUAUGCAACUCUGUGAGAAGCAAAAGGCACAGAGAAAAAUAGGAGAAAACUCUGGAUAUUCGAGUGGCUUCGUUGGCAGGUUUUCCUCCAAGCUGCCAUGGAAAGAAACUCUGUCUUUUCGAUAUUGCCCUGACAGUCCAAAUAUCGUGGAACAAUAUUUCGUCAGUGUAAUGGGUCUAAAUUUUAGACAUUUUGGGUAUGUAAAAGCUCACCAUUCUAUAUAGUAUCUUAAAUAAACCAGACAAAUGUAAUAUAGAAUGUCUAUGUGUUUCAAUGAUAGGAAGGUUUACCAGGAAUAUUGUGAAGCCAUGAACAAGCUUUCCAUGAAGGUUAUGGAGCUGCUGGGAGUAAGUCUGGUACUCGGCCGACCUUACUUGAGAGAUUUCUUCCAAGGAAUUGACUCAAUCUUAAGACUGAAUCAUUAUCCGCCAUGCCCAAAACCUGAUUUGGCUCUAGGAACCGGUCCUCACGCCGACCCGACUGCCUUGACCAUUCUUGAUCAGGAUCAGGUGGGUGGCCUUCAGGUUUUCGCAGAUCAUCAAUGGCAUUCUCUUAACUCCCAUCCCAGGAGCAUUCGUCGUCAACAUUAGCGACACAUUCAUCUUUAAUAUUAUAUCAUAAACUCUAAGACUUAGAAAGCAAAUUUAUUAUUACAUCGACUUAAAAUUUUACAAUUUUUACAGAAUUCAAAAAAUUUACCAUUUAAAAGGGGCUAAGGGCUGCCAUGACCAUAAAACAAGGAAAAUUGUACUGUGGGCUCCAAGCUCACACUAAAAUUUUUUAGAUUGACCAACAUUUUAAAUAUUUUUGUGAAAAUUUUGAAUAUCGAUAUAAGUUAAAAAUUUUGUUAAAUUUGAAAAUUUUAAUAAAUCUGAAAAAAAUUUAUGCACUCGCUAUAGAAUUUUUACACAAUAAUCAUAUAUAUUGAAGUCUCAAUUAAAAUUUAUAUUAAAAUCUUAAAAAUAAUAUUUUUGAAUGAUCGUCAUUUCUAAGUCACUCUGGAAACCUUAAAAGUUUUUCAGGCUUUUUUGAAGUUUACCAAGCUAAAAAUGAUUUUCUACGGUAAAAUAUUAUACAAAACACGGGAAAAAGAGUUUUUUUUAAGGUAAUCUAUAAAAAUAGUCACUUUUAUUUGCUGCAGGUUACAUUUUAGUUACUUAUGUUUGAAAUGUUACGUUUUAGUCACUUAUGUUAUUAUUUUAUUACGAAGUGAUCACUCUACCGUUAAGUUUCGUUAUCUCUCUAACGGUAAUUUUAGGUGGCAGUCCAACUAGAUUUUAGGUGCCAACUUAGAUUUCUAAAUGAGAUGCAAAUAGAUUUUUAAUUAAAAAAUUUAAUUAAUUAAAAUUUUUAAACCUAAACCUUAACUAAAAAAACUGUUCAUCUCCUCUUUUUUAUUUUUCUUUCAUCUCUUUUUUCUUUCAAUGGUUUUUUUUUCAUUUGACUGGAAAAAUUAUUAUUAAGUUCAAAAUAGCUGAAAUCAAAUUGACUACUUCGUAAGGAUGGAUUUAAUGGAAGGUUUAGAUAUGUCUUCUUUGCAUUCCUCUAUAUCUUUUAUUCAAUACUGAAAAAUAAAAGAUUAAAUUUUUUAUUGUUUAAUUUCAAGAAUUUUAAUUUAGGGAUUUCAUUAAACAAUAAAAAAUAAUAAUAUAAGUAACUAAAACUGUAAAAUUUUGAACAUAAAUAACUAAAAUGUAACUUGUGCAAAUAAAAAUAACUAUUUUUUAUAGAUUACCUUCUUUUUAAGAAAAUGUCUUACCCUUUUGAAUUGGGUAAGACAUUUUCCGGAAAAUGGCACCUUCUUCUCCCAUUUCCCCUUCCCCUUCCCCUUCCGGUUGUUUGGUCAAGGACCUUUUCCGGUUGCUCCUUCAUCCAUGUAAGGCUCAUUCUCCUUCUUCCGUUCUUCAUUUCUUUUCCUUCUUCCGUUCUUCAUCUUCUCUUCCAGGUAAAAGUCCGUCUCAUAUCUUCUCUUCUCAACAUAUUCUGUUUCGUUUCCUCUCUUUCUCUGUUUCUGAGGCAAAACUACCAUGAAUUCUUCACUGGGUCUUAACUUAAGGCGAUGAUCGUUCUUUGAUUUCUAACAUUUUUAUUUUAACGAAUUAUGCUGGUUGUCAUCAAAUUGAGAGAAAGUGUGUAGCCAAUGAAGAUUACAGAUUAUCUAUUGGGCUAUUCGCCUCCUAUUUGGGCAACUUUUGUUGCUGGAGUUUUAUCAAUCAUAACAAUUUCCCUUUCAUUGUUUCUUAUUUUCGAGCACCUUUCUUCAUACAAGAAUCCUGAGGUAAGUUUUUGUGUUUUUCUUUUUUUUCUAAUUGAAAUUUUCACUUUUUUCCUUAUUUGGUUUUGCAUUUUUUUUUUAAAAUUCUGUGUUCUUGGAUUGACAGGAGCAAAAGUUCUUGAUCGGAGUUGUUCUUAUGGUUCCUUGCUAUUCUGUAGAAUCGGUGAGUUUGUUUGUAUUAGUUGAAUGGAAGCAUUUGAAUCUAAUAUAGAUACAUAUUUU
This 13764-nucleotide long non-coding RNA is filed under the name Gossypium barbadense (sea-island cotton). RNAcentral's name for it is "long non-coding RNA (GBAR_LNC009924)". Lineage: Eukaryota; Viridiplantae; Streptophyta; Magnoliopsida; Malvales; Malvaceae. The record is from RNAcentral.